Molecule: unclassified non-coding RNA, 933 nt
Filed under: Hevea brasiliensis (rubber tree)
Lineage: Eukaryota; Viridiplantae; Streptophyta; Magnoliopsida; Malpighiales; Euphorbiaceae
Source: RNAcentral
AGAUUUCUAGCUCCAAAUCCCUGUCCUUCCGCCAUUACUAUAUAAACCCAUCUGUACGCCCUCUGGAUAACCAGAAAUCAGUCUUCUACAUUAGCUUUUUUCACCAUCAAUCUCAGAAACCCAAAAAUCCGCGAACGCUUGUUUUUUUGAUUCACCUGAAUUUGAGAAAUGGAUGGCGAUUUUGAGUUCCCAACUGCUGCGAAUGAGGAGGUUGAUAACAUGGACAUUAUCAAGGUUGGUGAAGAGAAAGAGAUUGGCAAGAAUGGACUUAAGAAGAAGCUCGUCAAAGAGGGUGAAGGAUGGGAGACUCCCAGUUCUGGUGAUGAAGUUGAAGUGCACUACACUGGGACUUUGCUUGACGGAACCCAGUUCGAUUCAAGUCGUGAAAGAGGGACACCAUUCAAGUUCAAACUUGGUCGAGGUCAAGUAAUCAAGGGGUGGGAUGAGGGCAUCAAGACUAUGAAGAAGGGUGAGAAUGCCAUUUUCACAAUACCUCCAGAAUUGGCAUAUGGUGAGGCUGGAUCUCCUCCAACUAUUCCUCCUAGAGCAACUCUUCAAUUCGAUGUGGAGUUGCUGUCUUGGACGAGCGUUAAAGACAUCUGUAAAGACGGGGGAAUUGUCAAGAAAGUACUUGUGGAAGGCGAGAAAUGGGACAAUCCCAAAGACCUUGAUGAAGUACUCGUUAAGUAUGAAGCUCGGCUUGAAGACGGAACGGUUAUCUCAAAGUCUGAUGGUGUUGAGUUCACUGUAGGAGAUGGCUAUUUCUGUCCUGCCUUGGCAAAAGCUGUGAAAACAAUGAAAAAGGGAGAGAAAGUCCUAUUGACAGUGAAGCCACAAUAUGGAUUUGGAGAGAAUGGCAGGCAGGCACUUAGUGAUGAAGGUGUUGUUCCUCCAAAUGCAACUCUUGAGAUCAUGCUUGAGUUAGUUUCUUGG